Long non-coding RNA from Motacilla alba alba, 2278 nucleotides. RefSeq lists it as uncharacterized. The transcript has 3 exons. The record is from RefSeq and is a predicted model, not a curated record. Lineage: Eukaryota; Metazoa; Chordata; Aves; Passeriformes; Motacillidae.
CCAAAAGAGAAAGAAUGGAAUUGAAUACUUAUUUCAGUGAGGGUCUAUUAAUAUUAUCCAGACUAAUGUACAAUAAAUAAAACCAUAUCUGAAUAUUUACACUAGUAGAUAAAAAGUAUUCAACGUUUAUUAAAUAUCCUAUUCUCUGUAAAAAUUAAAUACCACAGGUUAAAUGUUGUAUGGACUUGUACACUUGUAUCUUUCUAAGUCAGAUAAAUUAAAUGAAGUAACUUCAUUGUAUUACUUUAUGCUUUAUUUGAAGCAAAUGAAAACUGAGCAAAAUCCAGGGAUUUGCUGUUUUCAGAAUAUUGCUUGUAAAGCAAGUUUCACAGUAGAUGUCUAACUUUUAAAAGGUAGCAUGUUAUGCUCCUCACAUUUUUUUUAUGUUUUUCAUCUUGUAGCACUAAGGAAAAGCGUACAUGCUAGAGAAACACAGACUUUUGGACCUGAACAUAACUACAGUAUGGUAAAUGGGACAGGGCCUCAAGGUCUUUAGUCUUGAAAAUGCCUUGCUCGGUAUGUUUAUUCAACUGAAUUUUCGAUGGUAUUUCAUUUUAUAAUAAAAAAGGUCAUUCACUAAACAAAUAGACUGGGAUUACAACUUGCCAUUCUGUAAGUAUGCUUUUUGGCUUUUUUUUUUUUUUAAUGUUGAAUAGAAAUAGCCUAAUUUAAAAAAUAAAUAAUGGAAUGUAAACUCCACAAUAUUCUGGUUACUUUAUAAGUUUAAGCCUUCUUCCUCGCCCUCCAGGAAAGAAAUUUACUCUGGUAUGGUGCUCAGACUAGGAAACCUGAGAUUAGGUCACCCAAAUUUAUAAAGUAUAUGAAAUAAAGUAUUUUUUUAUUUUGCUAAAAGUUCAUAAUUUCCAAAUAUUCCUUUCUGAGUGGGAAAUUCUGUGUAUGUCCUGCAUGCUACCACAAAUGAACACCCAAGAAGAAGUUAAUAAUUUCCAAAGCAAUACAUUCAAAUACCUCUUGGGAUGUGUGUAAUGUGAUGACAAGGUGUAGAACAUUUGGACUCCAACUCCAGAGGUACCUACCCAUGUAACAGUCAUGGACUGACUCAAGAGGAUCUACCUCAAGAGAAUGCUGCUCCUGGGGGUCAGUUGCCUCAGACUGGUCAGUGUGGUGAUCAGUCUGGGUCAGACUGUGGACACUGAGGUGAAGCAUGGCCACCAGCAAGCACAGUGGGAGGAUGGCCUUCAUCAUUCUUCACAGAUACUGUGUGGACAAAGAACAAAAGGUCUUGGAUGCUGGAGAUGGGGUCUUUCUUGUGUGUAUCCCACAUCUGGUUAUGGGAAGGUGAGACCAUUAGUGUGGACUUGGCCUCUCCUGUCUUUCCAAGCUUCACAUCAGCAGGACAGCAUCCUUUUGUAAGGUAAAGAUGCCUAAGGCCAGAGUAGUGCUCAGUGCCAGUCUGAUCCAGUGAUCAGACUGGAUCAGGGCAUCUUGGGCAUUUGUAGUGACUGUGAUCACUUUUUGCCUUUGUUUGCUUACUGCUUUCUCUUUUACCAGCUCAACCAGGAACAUGCUAGGUUGAUUUGUGGUGUCUAAGAUGCUUAACCUGUCAGAAAACAAGUAAGAGCUAUUCCCAUUAAAAAUAUGGUACCAGUGACUAGAAAAGCUCCAAAUAGCCUUCACCUAAUGUCCUGCUUGAAGCAGAUCAGCUUCAGGCAGAAGAUCACAACUCUACCCCCCAGUCAGUGGUAAAGGCACUCAAAGACAUGAGUUCAGCAGAGCAGAUGAGAUGUUUACUGGGAUUCUCUCCACCCUGGGACAGCACUCUGACCACCAAGGUUUGGGUGAAAAGGAGCCAGCUUGUCUUUCUGCAGCUUUGCUCUGUGUGAUCUGGGUAAAUUGGAAUUUACAGAGGACAUCGGCAUAGCAAAAUCAGUUUGUGAAUUCUGUCUGGGUCAUCUUAGUGUAAGCAAGACAUUUACUCAUUCACUUCAGUUUUGAUUAUCUGAUUGUAAGCUUUAGGGGAAAUUAGUAAUGAUAAAUAAAAUUGACAGUUGAGAAGUCAGAAUACUUUCGUUAUUGAAGUAUAUUUUUUCUAGAUGUUUUUGAGCUAUUUGGGAUAAAUAUUCAGAGCAGUUAUACUAUGUGGAGCUGCUGUAAUGAAUCCCUAGAAUUUGCUAUUCAGUAUUUCUUGAAAUUAAGUUCAGCUGUCAUUUGAGUACUUAGAAACUAGGUUUCACCCUUGAAAGCAGAUGUGCUUUAUGACUCACUUAGCUAAAUACCAUACAGCUGGGUCAAAGUCAUUAAGAUAAAGAUAGCUGGU